Molecule: ribosomal RNA, 495 nt
Filed under: uncultured bacterium
Lineage: Bacteria
Description: partial 16S ribosomal RNA
Rfam family: Bacterial small subunit ribosomal RNA
Source: RNAcentral
GAUGAACGCUGGCGGCGUGCCUAAUACAUGCAAGUAGAACGCUGAAGGAGGAGCUUGCUCUUCUGGAUGAGUUGCGAACGGGUGAGUAACGCGUAGGUAACCUGCCUGGUAGCGGGGGAUAACUAUUGGAAACGAUAGCUAAUACCGCAUGACAACAGUUAUUGCAUGAUAACUGUUUAAAAGGGGCAACUGCUCCACUACCAGAUGGACCUGCGUUGUAUUAGCUAAUUGGUGAGGUAACGGCUCACCAAGGCGACGUUACAUAGCCGACCUGAGAGGGUGAUCGGCCACACUGGGACUGAGACACGGCCCAGACUCCUACGGGAGGCAGCAGUAGGGAAUCUUCGGCAAUGGACGGAAGUCUGACCGAGCAACGCCGCGUGAGUGAAGAAGGGUUUCGGAUCGUAAAGCUCUGUUGUAAGAGAAGAACGAGUGUGAGAGUGGAAAGUUCACACUGUGACGGUAUCUUACCAGAAAGGGACGGCUAACUACGUG